AUUGAACGCUGGCGGCAUGCCUUACACAUGCAAGUCGAACGGCAGCACGGGAGCAAUCCUGGUGGCGAGUGGCGAACGGGUGAGUAAUAUAUCGGAACGUGCCCAGUCGUGGGGGAUAACGUAGAGAAAUUUACGCUAAUACCGCAUACGAUCUAAGGAUGAAAGCGGGGGGACCGUAAGGCCUCGCGCGAUUGGAGCGGCUGAUAUCAGAUUAGGUUGUUGGUGAGGUAAAAGCUCACCAAGCCGACGAUCUGUAGCUGGUUUGAGAGAACGACCAGCCACACUGGGACUGAGACACGGCCCAGACUCCUACGGGAGGCAGCAGUGGGGGAAUUUUGGACAAUGGGCGCAAGCCUGAUCCAGCAAUGCCGCGUGCAGGAUGAAGG
Molecule: ribosomal RNA, 386 nt
Filed under: uncultured bacterium
Lineage: Bacteria
Description: bacterial SSU rRNA
Rfam family: Bacterial small subunit ribosomal RNA
Source: RNAcentral